UCAAGAAUUUAUUGUGCAGACGGAUGCCUCUGAGAGGGGCAUAGGGGCUGUGUUGUUACAGGGACCACCUGGUGAGCGACGGCCUGUGGCUUUCAUUAGCCGCAAACUCUUUCCAAGGGAAGUCCGCUAUUCGACAAUAGAGAAGGAAUGUUUGGCAGUUAAAUGGGCCCUAGACUCCUUGAGAUAUUACCUACUUGGAAGGGAGUUCAAGUUGGAAACGGACCAUAAAGCUCUCCAGUGGCUGGAAAGGAUGAAAGAUACCAAUGGGAGGAUCACACGGUGGUAUCUGGCUAUGCAGCCUUUCCGGUUCACUGUCCAGCACGUUCCGGGCAAGUCCAAUGUGACCGCUGACUACUUCUCUCGUUGUAUCCACGAGAUGCCUGAAGGGAGGGGGUGUGUGAUGGCCGAACCUGUGGCCACACAUUGAUAAGGUUUAAGUUACCGUGGCAUGGAGGUUGGAUGAAUGGCGUUGACUCAGGUGUGCGUCUUUCCGUCAUCGCGGUCUUGACUGACAAAAGGCUGAGGCGCGUGCGGCAGUCAAUAUUUAUGGCCUGAGCAUUCCACUGGACGAUACCAACUGGAUGCUAUGUCAUGGGGGGGUGAAGAAAUGAAGUUAUAUUUCUGAUUGGUUCCAAUUUAUUUUUAUUAUUAAUAUUUGUUGUUUUGUAUUAGAUUGUUUUGUUUGUUACUCUAUUUACUUUGAUUAGAUAACUUGUAACUAAUUUGUUGGUUUAUAAAGUGUUGAUUGUAUGUUUUCCCCUGUCUUGUUUAAGUGAGCUCACCGUCUGUGAUAAAUACCUGUCUGUUGUCUCAUUUAGGGGGUUAGUUUUGUUUUGUUCAGUUCUUCUUAAGUUUCGUUAUAUUGAAUUAAAACUUGUUUUGUUUACUUUAUUAAAGUCUAGCUAGAUUAUUUGUUAGAACAAGUUGAUUUAUUUUGUAACUGAGACCUUUUUCUUAUUUUUGGGUAAAAUAAAACCUUUUUUUGUUGGCAA
This is a long non-coding RNA of Carassius gibelio (silver crucian carp), 992 nucleotides long. RefSeq lists it as uncharacterized. The transcript has 2 exons. The record is from RefSeq and is a predicted model, not a curated record. Lineage: Eukaryota; Metazoa; Chordata; Actinopteri; Cypriniformes; Cyprinidae.